RNAcentral lists this ribosomal RNA (427 nucleotides) under uncultured bacterium. RNAcentral's name for it is "bacterial SSU rRNA". It matches the Rfam family "Bacterial small subunit ribosomal RNA", at positions 355 to 775 of the family's 1533-position model. The record is from RNAcentral.
UGGGGAAUCUUGCGCAAUGGGCGAGAGCCUGACGCAGCGACGCCGCGUGAGUGAUGAAGGCCCUCGGGUUGUAAAGCUCUGUGGGGAGAGACGAAUAAGGGCCGGCUAAUACCCGGCUCGAUGACGGUAUCUCCUUAGCAAGCACCGGCUAACUCUGUGCCAGCAGCCGCGGUAAGACAGAGGAUGCAAACGUUGUUCGGAAUUACUGGGCGUAAAGCGCGUGUAGGCGGCUGCGCAAGUCGGAUGUGAAAUCCCGUGGCUCAACCACGGAAGUGCACCCGAAACUGCGUAGCUGGAGUCUCGGAGAGGAAGGUGGAAUGCUUGGUGUAGAGGUGAAAUUCGUAGAUAUCAAGCGGAACACCGGUGGCGAAGUCGGCCUUCUGGACGAUGACUGACGCUGAGACGCGAAAGCGUGGGGAGCAAACAG